GACGAACGCUGGCGGCGUGCUUAACACAUGCAAGUCGAACGGAAAGGCCUGCUUUCCCUUGUGGAUUGCGGGUACUCGAGUGGCGAACGGGUGAGUAACACGUGAGUGAUCUGCCCCCAACUUGGGUAUAAGCCUGGGAAACUGGGUCUAAUUCCCGAUAGGACUGCAGGGUGGUGCCUGUGGUGGAAAACGAUUUUCUAGUGGUUGGGGAUGAGCUCGCGGCCUAUCAGCUUGUUGGUGGGGUAAUGGCCUACCAAGGCGGCGACGGGUAGCCGGCCUGGGAGGGUUGACCGGCAACUUUGGGCUGGGAUACCGCCCCGAAUCCCACGGGAGGCAGGAGUUGGGAAAAAUUGCCAAAGGGGGGGAGCCUUGUUCCGGCACCGCCGGGUGGGGAUUGCGGGCCUUGGGUUUGUAAAUCCCUUUGACCGCGGAGAAGGCCACCUGUUUGAAGGGUGGUGACGGUAGUGGUAGAAGAAGCACCGGCUAACUACGUG
This 494-nucleotide ribosomal RNA is filed under the name uncultured bacterium. RNAcentral describes it as "partial 16S ribosomal RNA". It matches the Rfam family "Bacterial small subunit ribosomal RNA", at positions 28 to 507 of the family's 1533-position model. The record is from RNAcentral.